Molecule: long non-coding RNA, 213 nt
Filed under: Lathyrus oleraceus (garden pea)
Lineage: Eukaryota; Viridiplantae; Streptophyta; Magnoliopsida; Fabales; Fabaceae
Description: Pisum sativum (pea) long non-coding RNA (PSAT_LNC003523)
Source: RNAcentral
UUUUAGUCUUAAUGAUAAUAAUUUUAGUGAUCGUAAUUUAAAGAAUCAUAGAUUUAAACUACUUCUAAUCCUGAUAUUGACAUCCCUCUUGUCCUCACGACAAUUCAACAACCUUCCACGACUGUUAAUCCCCCCUCCUCCUUGCUACAUAAUUUGUGACUGUAAGUUUAUUCAAUUGCAUGAUUUUUUCUAUUCCAUUUACCCUGUUUUUUU